This 43-nucleotide non-coding RNA is filed under the name unclassified sequences. Its description in RNAcentral is "L31-Actinobacteria ribosomal protein leader". It matches the Rfam family "L31-Actinobacteria ribosomal protein leader". The record is from RNAcentral.
CUGGUUCCGGUUCACGUCCCCGAUCGGUGGCGACCCGGCGACC